This 301-nucleotide ribosomal RNA is filed under the name uncultured bacterium. RNAcentral's name for it is "partial 16S ribosomal RNA". It matches the Rfam family "Bacterial small subunit ribosomal RNA", at positions 509 to 809 of the family's 1533-position model. The record is from RNAcentral.
CAGCAGCCGCGGUAAAACGUUGGGUGCGAGCGUUAAUCGGAAUGACUGGGCGUAAAGGGCGCGUAGGCGGCGAUCAAAGUCAGGCGUGAAAUUCCUGGGCUCAACCUGGGGGCUGCGUUUGAUACUUGAUUGCUAGAAUGGGGAAGAGGGUCGUGGAAUUCCCAGUGUAGAGGUGAAAUUCGUAGAUAUUGGGAAGAACACCGGUGGCGAAGGCGGCGACCUGGUCCUUUACUGACGCUGAGGCGCGAAAGCGUGGGGAGCAAACAGGAUUAGAUACCCCAGUAGUCCCUGUCUCUUAUAU